Molecule: long non-coding RNA, 354 nt
Filed under: Manihot esculenta (cassava)
Lineage: Eukaryota; Viridiplantae; Streptophyta; Magnoliopsida; Malpighiales; Euphorbiaceae
Description: long non-coding RNA (MESC_LNC006259)
Source: RNAcentral
UACAAACCAGGAGGUAUCCAAUGAAUAAUGACAAUAGGGAGAGAGUAGCUGUGAAGGGUUGGUGAACUUUAGCAGUCCAAGCAGCAACAACAAUCACACAAAUGGAGGCACUGCAAACUCCAGUAAGGAAACAAAUUGAGCUGGUAAUGUCACAAUCAACAAUGCGUUCCAUAUCUUGCCUUUUAAAUUGUUCCCAAGUAUCUUGUGAUGCCUGAACAAAUCCUUUUCCAUAUGCAGCUAUCUGCAACAAUGGUUUAAAGGCUAACUCAGUACAAUGCCUCAUUUUCUUGGUCAAGCAUUGUUAAGCUCAAGGAAUUAGCAUUGAAUAUUGGUAUUACCUGUACAAAGGCCCAG